GUGGGGAAUAUUGCGCAAUGGGCGGAAGCCUGACGCAGCGACGCCGCGUGGGGGAUGACGGCCUUCGGGUUGUAAACCUCUUUCGACUUCGACGAAGCCUUCGGGUGACGGUAGGGGUGGAAGAAGCACCGGCCAACUACGUGCCAGCAGCCGCGGUAACACGUAGGGUGCGAGCGUUGUCCGGAAUUAUUGGGCGUAAAGAGCUCGUAGGCGGUGUGUCACGUCGGCCGUGAAAACCUGCAGCUUAACUGUGGGCGUGCGGUCGAUACGGGCAUCACUGGAGUUCGGCAGGGGAGACUGGAAUUCCUGGUGUAGCGGUGAAAUGCGCAGAUAUCAGGAGGAACACCGGUGGCGAAGGCGGGUCUCUGGGCCGAUACUGACGCUGAGGAGCGAAAGCGUGGGGAGCGAACAGG
RNAcentral lists this ribosomal RNA (413 nucleotides) under uncultured Pseudonocardia sp. RNAcentral describes it as "bacterial SSU rRNA". It matches the Rfam family "Bacterial small subunit ribosomal RNA", at positions 354 to 776 of the family's 1533-position model. Lineage: Bacteria; Bacillati; Actinomycetota; Actinomycetes; Pseudonocardiales; Pseudonocardiaceae. The record is from RNAcentral.